GAUGAAGAACGUAGCGAAAUGCGAUAAGUAAUGUGAAUUGCAGAAUUCAGUGAAUCAUCGAAUCUUUGAACGCACAUUGCGCCCAUUAGUAUUCUAGUGGGCAUGCCUGUUCGAGCGUCAUUUCAACCCUUAAGCCUAGCUUAGUAUUGGGAAUCGACUUUACUGUCGUUCCUCAAAUUCAACGGCGGAUUUAUAGCAAUCUCUGAACGUAGUAAUUUUUUUCCUCGUUUUUGAAAUACUAUAAACCUCAGCCGCUAAACCCCCAAUUUUUCUAUGGUUGACCUCGGAUCAGGUAGGAAUACCCGCUGAACUUAAGCAUAUCAAUAGGGAGGA
This 333-nucleotide unclassified non-coding RNA is filed under the name soil metagenome. Its description in RNAcentral is "partial contains 5.8S ribosomal RNA, internal transcribed spacer 2, and large subunit ribosomal RNA". The stretch from base 1 to 120 matches the Rfam family "5.8S ribosomal RNA", at positions 35 to 154 of the family's 154-position model. The record is from RNAcentral.